AAAAGCUUUCUUUAAUUGAAUAAUUGAAUUUAAUUUUUUAGUGCAAAAGCAAAAAUAAAAAUUAGGGACAAGAAGACCCUAUGAAUUUUUUAUUAAAUUUUAUAAAACUUUAUAUAAAAUUUAAUUUAAUUGGGGUGAUGGAAAAAGAAUAAAUAUCUUUUUUUUAAAAAAAAAUUGGUUCCGUUUUUAGCGAUUAAAUGAAAAAAANACUCUAGGGAUAACAGCGUAAUAAUUUUGGAUAGUUCAUAUAGAUAAAAUAGUUUGCGACCUCGAUGUUGGAUUAGGAUUCUUUUUUGGUGAANAAGUUAAAAAAA
This 314-nucleotide ribosomal RNA is filed under the name Ixodes ricinus (castor bean tick). Its description in RNAcentral is "partial large subunit ribosomal RNA". Lineage: Eukaryota; Metazoa; Arthropoda; Arachnida; Ixodida; Ixodidae. The record is from RNAcentral.